RNAcentral lists this ribosomal RNA (1296 nucleotides) under metagenome. RNAcentral's name for it is "bacterial SSU rRNA". It matches the Rfam family "Eukaryotic small subunit ribosomal RNA", at positions 558 to 1777 of the family's 1831-position model. The record is from RNAcentral.
AGUCUGGUGCCAGCACCCGCGGUAUUCCAGCUCCAAAAGCAUAUACUAAAAUUGCUGUAGUUAAAACGCUCGUAGUUUAUACAAGGGAUGCAAUUUGUAUGUUUCAGACUAUUGCUAGUUGCUGGCAAAUUCGUUUAUCGAUUAGUUAGUAACCAAGCGUAGUCUUUGCUUGGUUUUCCAAGUAAGCACGUUAGUGCCAAGGGUUUUGGGUCUCUUCUUACCAAAAAGUCUUGGCAUGUGUGGGGCAUAGAUUGCGUUCUGAUUCGAACCGUGAACAAAUUAAAGUGUUUAAAGCGGGCAUUGUACGUUCUUUGAACGUUUUGCUUGAAUAAUUUAGCAUGGGACUCAUUUUCCUUGCAAAAGGAUAAGAAAAAGGAGCCAGGAAGAGGACUCUGGUAUUGCGCGUUUAGAGGUGAAAUUCCGACAUCUUCGCAGGACGAACGGAGGCGUAGGCUGUCAUUGCCCAUCACAUCUCUAUUGAUCAGGAACGAAAGUCAGGGGAUCGAAGAUGAUUAGAUACCGUCGUAGUCCUGACCGUAAACGAUACUAACUCGAGUUUGUAUGUAACAGUUUUUCAAAAAUUGAUACAGAAUCCAAGGGAAACCGUUAAGUCUUUGGGUUCUGGGGGGAGUAUAGUCGCAAGGCCGAAACUUAAAGGAAUUGACGGAAAGACACCACUAGGAGGGGAGUUUGCGGCUUAAUUCGACCCAACGCGGGAAAACUCACCAGGAUAGGACAGAAUGAGGAUUGACAGGUUGAAUAUGGUCCUUUCUUGAUUUUUUGGAAGGUGGUGCAUGGCCGUCCUUAGUUCGUGGAGUGAUCUGUCUACUUAAUUGUGUUAACGAACGAGACCUUAACCUGUUAACUAGGCACUAGUUGAAUUUUAUUCAUGGGUUUCUUACGAAAUCUAGGUCAUUCGGGUUUUACCCGAGCUUCUUAAAGGGACAAUACUGUGUAUUUUAUAUUUUAGCGUAGGGAAGUUUAAGGCAAUAACAGGUCUGUGAUGCCCUGAGAUAUCCUGGGCGGCACGCGUACUACAAUGUCAUUGACAACAGGCUUUCCGCUUCGGCGGGCCUCUACCAAAAUGUAGGGGAGAACGUGUCAAACACUUAUAUGACUGGGAUAACUGUUUGUAAUUACAUCUUAAACGAGGAAUUCCUAGUAAGCGCAAGUCAUCAUCUUGCAUUGAUUACGUCCCUGUCUUUUGUACACACCGCCCGUCGCUCCUACCGAUUGGAUAGCAAGGUGAACUUGAUGGACUCUAACAAGAAAAUUUAUUAAACCUUUCCAUCUCUA